UACGUAGGGGGCGAGCGUUGUCCGGAAUUACUGGGCGUAAAGAGCGUGUAGGCGGGAUCUUAAGUCAGGUGUGAAAACCCGAGGCUCAACUUCGGGACUGCACUUGAAACUGGGGUUCUUGAGGGCAGGAGAGGAAAGUAGAAUUCCUGGUGUAGCGGUGAAAUGCGUAGAUAUCAGGAGGAAUACCGGUGGCGAAGGCGGCUUUCUGGACUGACCCUGACGCUGAGACGCGAAAGCGUGGGGAG
RNAcentral lists this ribosomal RNA (245 nucleotides) under uncultured bacterium. RNAcentral's name for it is "partial 16S ribosomal RNA". It matches the Rfam family "Bacterial small subunit ribosomal RNA", at positions 524 to 768 of the family's 1533-position model. The record is from RNAcentral.